GAAAUUUCUAAAGAAACACAAUAAAUCAAGUAAAGCAAUAGUGACAUGAUGUUAACAGAGGCUAUAUAUGUAUAUAUCUUUGCAGGGAAAUGCAUUAUACACACAGCACAUCAUUGAACCACAAGAAAAGAUUGCAAAUUAGAUGAUUCAAGGCUAUGGGGUCUCUUUCUUCCUAUAGUUGUUGGCUCUGUUUGGUGUAAUUUGUAGGUGCUAGAUUCCGCUAAGUGGGCAACAUUCCAUAUUGGGGAGGGCAGUGGUUGUGCAUGCAGAUCCUGAUGAUCUUGGGAGAGGUAUGGUUCAUUCUUUGCAUCUUAUGUCAUAUUACAAUGCCUAUAGUUAAUAAAAAUAAGGCCUAUAAAAAAAAUAAAAAUCAAUGUUUUACUAUCUAAAAAAAAAAAAACCAAUAUUUUAAAACUUAGAUGUUAUAGUUAAUAAAAUAAAUAAUCAAUUGAGUUAGCUCAAUUGGCCUCUUUUGUGUACAUUUUGACUAAGAGAGGUGGUAAGGGAAGGAUGGAGGGAGAAAAGAGGGAGAAAUUUGGUUUGGCAUAUUACUUCACUACUGAUAGGAGAUGAAUGAAUUUAUAGUGGCUCUAAGACAUUAGUUUGUGUGUUUCUCUCUCUCUCUCUCUCUCUCUCUCUCUCUCUCUCUCUCUCUCUCUCUACGUGUAUUUGUUUGUGUGGCUCUAAGAAGGCCCAUAAACUAAGAAGGCCCAUAAACUAUCACAAGAAUGGGGCAACAUUCCUGUCAUGUACCAUCUAAUGAGCAUUCUCUUGAAAUUUGUAUGCUAUUCCAAAAUACCUAUCUAUUUAACUUUCCAAUGGUGGAGUUCUCGACUUGAAACUAAAUUUGUUGCAAUUGGACCUCCAAUUACAUGACCGAAGAAGAAUAUCUGGGCAAAUAUGUCCAUUGGAGUAUCAAGCAUUCCAUUCUCAAAAUAAUUAUGCUGCCAGGCCACUAAAGAAUAGAUGGAGCAAUGAAGAAUUAAUGCUUGCUACUAGGACUGGAGGAGUAACUCGUCUUCGACACGAUUUAAAACUCUGCAGUGCAUACCUUGGAGUUCAUGUAAGAUUUCUGAGUCAUAGUUA
This is a non-coding RNA of Camellia sinensis, 1086 nucleotides long. The record is from RefSeq and is a predicted model, not a curated record. NCBI's taxonomy places the organism in Eukaryota, Viridiplantae, Streptophyta, Magnoliopsida, Ericales, Theaceae.